Molecule: ribosomal RNA, 476 nt
Filed under: uncultured bacterium
Lineage: Bacteria
Description: bacterial SSU rRNA
Rfam family: Bacterial small subunit ribosomal RNA
Source: RNAcentral
CACUGUCACUCCUACGGGAGGCAGCAGUGGGGAAUAUUGCACAAUGGGGGAAACCCUGAUGCAGCCAUGCCGCGUGUGUGUAAGAAGGCCUUCGGGUUGUAAAGCACUUUCAGUAGGGAGGAAGGUAGUGUAGUUAACACCUGCAUUAUUUGACGUUACCUACAGAAGAAGCACCGGCUAACUCCGUGCCAGCAGCCGCGGUAAUACGGAGGGUGCGAGCGUUAAUCGGAAUUACUGGGCGUAAAAGCGCAUGCAGGCGGCCUGUUAAGUCAGAUGUGAAAGCCCGGGGCUUAACCUCGGAAUUGCAUUUGAAAACUGGCAGGCUAGAGUCUUGUAGAGGGGGUAGAAUUUCAGGUGUAGCGGUGAAAUGCGUAGAGAUCUGAAGGAAUACCAGUGGCGAAGGCGGCCCCCUGGACAAAGACUGACGCUCAGAUGCGAAAAGCGUGGGGAGCAAACAGGAUUAGAUACCCUGGUAG